GCCUGGGUGGCUCAGUGUGUCGAGCCUCUGACUUCGGCUCAGGUCGUGAUCUCGCAGUUUGCGGGUUCGAGCCCCACAUCGGGCU
Molecule: transfer RNA, 85 nt
Filed under: Felis catus (domestic cat)
Lineage: Eukaryota; Metazoa; Chordata; Mammalia; Carnivora; Felidae
Rfam family: tRNA
About the family: Transfer RNA (tRNA) molecules are approximately 80 nucleotides in length. Their secondary structure includes four short double-helical elements and three loops (D, anti-codon, and T loops).
Source: Rfam by way of RNAcentral